CAAGUCGAACGGUAAGGCCCCCUUCGGGGGGUACACGAGUGGCGCACGGGUGAGUAACGCGUGGGCAAUCUGCCUUCAGGUCUGGGACAACUUCGGGAAACUGGAGCUAAUACCGGAUAAGACCACGAGGUCUUCGGACCUUGCGGAAAAAGGUGGCCUCUCCUUGGAAGCUAUCGCCUGUUGAUGAGCCCGCGUCCCAUUAGCUUGUUGGUGAGGUAACGGCUCACCAAGGCUUUGAUGGGUAGCUGGUCUGAGAGGAUGAUCAGCCACACUGGAACUGAGACACGGUCCAGACUCCUACGGGAGGCAGCAGUCGGGAAUCUUGGGCAAUGGGGGCAACCCUGACCCAGCAACGCCGCGUGAGGGAUGAAGGCCCUCGGGUCGUAAACCUCUGUCGGGAGGGAAGAAAGGCCACCGUUCUAAUACAGCGGUGACUUGACGGUACCUCCAAAGGAAGCGCCGGCUAACUCCGUGCCAGCAGCCGCGGUAAUAAGGAGGGCGCAAGCGUUGUUCAGAAUCAUUGGGCGUAAAGCGCGCGUAGGCGGCUUGGCAAGUCGGGUGUGAAAUCCCGGGGCUCAACCCCGGAACUGCACU
RNAcentral lists this ribosomal RNA (594 nucleotides) under uncultured bacterium. RNAcentral describes it as "bacterial SSU rRNA". It matches the Rfam family "Bacterial small subunit ribosomal RNA", at positions 58 to 627 of the family's 1533-position model. The record is from RNAcentral.